RNAcentral lists this long non-coding RNA (706 nucleotides) under Ananas comosus (pineapple). RNAcentral describes it as "long non-coding RNA (ACOM_LNC037107)". Lineage: Eukaryota; Viridiplantae; Streptophyta; Magnoliopsida; Poales; Bromeliaceae. The record is from RNAcentral.
GCUGAGUUUGCGUACAACAACAGCUAUCAAACACGCAUCCAGAUGGCUCCGUUUGAGGCGUUGUAUGGACGCAGAUGUUGAUCCCCUUUGUUUUGGAGUGAUGUGGGUGAGAGGAAGACACUAGGGCCUGAGAUCUUACUAGAGGCUGAGGAAAAGGUGAGAGUUGUUCGACGACACCUUUUGACAGCCCAGAGCCGCUAGAGAAGCUACGCCGAUACCCGGAGACGAGACUUAGAGUUUCAGGUUGGAGAUCAUGUAUUCCUCAAAGUCUCACCGUCCAGAGGGAUUCGCCAAUUUGGAGUACAUGGAAAGCUCAGUCCACGUUUCAUUGGCCCUUUUGAAAUAUUAGAGCGAGUUGGACCGGUUGCCUACAGGAUUGCUCUACCUCCACGGCUAGCAGACAUUCACGAUGUGUUCCAUGUCUCGGCUUUGAGGAGAUAUAUUUUCGAUCCUUCGCAAGUGAUCGACUUCACUCCACUAGAAAUUGGCGAGGAUCUGAGAUACGAGGAGAGAUUGUCACGCCCCGAAACCGAUACCAAUUUGGUCCAGUUCGGGCGCGUCAAACAGACGCCGAACGGACAGCACCUCCCCUGUCCGCCCAAGGCCAACAGCGAGAUCAUGUACAACAAGUUCCCAGGAAAUCACUUGAAUACAUACAUGAUCACUCAACAACUACGAGGGGAGCACAAUCAGUGCUAAACAACUA